Molecule: long non-coding RNA, 2120 nt
Organism: Callithrix jacchus (white-tufted-ear marmoset)
Lineage: Eukaryota; Metazoa; Chordata; Mammalia; Primates; Cebidae
Source: RefSeq, a predicted model, not a curated record
AAAUUACUGAGGAUAAUUGACGAAACUGUGUUCAUCAAGAUGUUGAAGCCUGCAAAUUCCACAAUCUCAAUUGCAGUGUGGGACUGGAACACUCAAAACAGCGGAUGUCUGUUCCUUUCCUUUCACCUGCUUUCAUCUGCUGGCUGGGUUUCUGGAAGAUUAUGAUGGCGAAGGUCUGGCAUAUGCUCACUGUCUACCAGCACUUACUCAGUCCCUGGCCUUCAUCAAGAACCGAAGCAGGUAUAAGCCCCUUUCUGGCCAUUGGGUUAAAGGGAGUAGGCAGGGAGAACCAAGGACACCAACACUCACAUCUUUGUCCCUGCUGCUACGGCCAUUGAGGAGGCUGAGAAGCUGUGGCGUUGCUGAGAAGCCAUGCAGCUCGGACGGACAGCGUGGGUCUCUAGAAAUACGUCAUCAUUUCCAGGAAGCUGCCUUGGGAGCGAGGCAUUAUGGGAAACUGCUUUGAGAGAGCCGCCAUAAUAGGAAACUGCCUUGGGAGAGGGGCAUGAUGGGAAACUGCUUUGAGACAGCCUCCAUGACGAGAAACUGCCUUGGGAGCGGGGCAUGAUGGGAAACGUAUGGCCAACGGAAAUAACAGCCAGAGCAAGGCUCCCGGCAUAUGACCCAUUAAAGGAACCACCUGUGUCCCGUUAGGGCUGGCUGGGAAGAGAGACGUGAUGGGAAGAUGCCGGAAGACGUCUCAGCAGUCUACUGUGGCUACUGGGCCCGAGAAGAUCAGGACCUAUUCUUACUAUCCAUCGACUGAUUGCAUCCAUCGCUACCCAUCUUCCACCUAUCUGUAACCAUCCUCCUUGUUCUGAAAAUAAUACGUACCUUCAAGCUCCUUGAUAAUACAUAGCGUGGAUGUUCCCACUCCUGCUUCCAGGCAUAAGCUUCAGGCGAGCUUGUUUCAGGCUGUGAGAAUGGAUGAGGACAGCUGGAGCCAAUGAUGUUCUGCUGCUCAGCCAGAUCCUGGUGUCAUCACUGGGCAGCCCUACACUGGAAACUUGUCCCACUUCCCCUAUCUAUCUUCAUGUUGUGGCACACGAAGGCUUUUGGAUUUUCCAGCACUACAGGAUUAAAGGAGACAACCUUCUUCAUCUGGAGCAUCAGUUCCUGAGUGAACGUCCUGGACCAAAAUGAGGACCUGGGAAAUGAGGACCUUGCCGCAGGCCUCCUUGUGUGUUCAGCUUCUGCCCACAGAGGAACAUCUGAUUUGCCACUGCUCCUGCUGUUUUCUUGGGAAAUGUAAUUGUAGAACAGCUACCUAGAAUCUGUCUGGAACGAGCAGAGGGUGUAUGAAACAAAGCCUUUUCCUGAGCCCAAACCGUAUCCCAAAAAGGCAACAUAGAUGGCCCUAGCCGAAUUGCUGGGCCAUUGACACUGCUUCGCUAAUAGGCAGCUUAAGCUGAAUGAUAGUAUUUCUGAAGUUCCACCCAUGCAAGUACAGAGCAGGCUGGAAUCCACCUAACAUGGGAGACCAAACGAGACUGGACGCAUUCAGGCUGAUAUGGCCGUAGAUUACUCACAAAAUUCUGGUAGCUUCUUGGCUUCUUGAACUGAAUGAUACUAUUGACAAAGUUCCUGUUAUGUAUGUACUGAAGAGGCCAGAUGCUGCUUCACUUCCGAGAACAGAUGAAAUCGGGCAGGUUGAGGGUGGUAUGGCUGAAGAUUACUCACAAAGUUUCUGGUAGCUUCUCCUGAUUCAGUAAUAGGUUUUUUGAAGUGAAUGAAAGUGUUCACCAAGUUCCUGUGCUGUAUGAUCUACAGAGGCCAGACCCUGCCUAACUUCGGAGACCAAACGAGAUUGGGCACGUUCAGGCUGGUAUGGCUGUAGAUUACUUAGAAAGUUUCUGGUGGCUUCUCUCGCUUUGGUAAUAGGUUUUUUGAAGUGAUUGAAAGUGUUCACAGAGUUCCUGUGCUGUACGUACUACAGAGGCGAGACCCUGCCUGUCUUUAGAGACUAAAUGAGAUUGGGUGCAUUCAGGCUGGUACGCUUGUACAUUGCUCAGAAAGUUUCUGGUAGCUUCUUCCACUUCAGUGAUAGGUUUCUGGAAGUGAAUGAAAGUGUUCACAAAGCUCCUGUGCUGUAUGUACUAUAGGGGCCAGACCUCGACCAA